ACAGAGGGCGGCCAACUGGCGAAAGUGAGCGAAUCCAAAAAAGUGGGUGGUAGUCCGGAUUGUAUUUUGCAACUCGACUCCAGGAGGUUGGAAUCGUUAGUAAUGGUGGAUCAGAAUGCCAGGGUGAAUAUGUUCCGGGUCUUUGUACACACCGCCGGUCACACCAUGGGAGUGGGCUACAAAAGAAGUGGGUAGUUUAACUUUGGGGAGGACCCUCACCA
Molecule: ribosomal RNA, 221 nt
Filed under: uncultured bacterium
Lineage: Bacteria
Description: partial 16S ribosomal RNA
Rfam family: Bacterial small subunit ribosomal RNA
Source: RNAcentral